RNAcentral lists this ribosomal RNA (465 nucleotides) under Vreelandella stevensii. Its description in RNAcentral is "partial 16S ribosomal RNA". It matches the Rfam family "Bacterial small subunit ribosomal RNA", at positions 338 to 795 of the family's 1533-position model. The record is from RNAcentral. Lineage: Bacteria; Pseudomonadati; Pseudomonadota; Gammaproteobacteria; Oceanospirillales; Halomonadaceae.
CCUACGGGAGGCUGCAGUGGGGAAUAUUGGACAAUGGGGGGAACCCUGAUCCAGCCAUGCCGCGUGUGUGAAGAAGGCCCUCGGGUUGUAAAGCACUUUCAGUGAGGAAGAACGCCUGGUGGUUAAUACCCAUCAGGAAAGACAUCACUCACAGAAGAAGCACCGGCUAACUCCGUGCCAGCAGCCGCGGUAAUGCGGAGGGUGCGAGCGUUAAUCGGAAUUACUGGGCGUAAAGCGCGCGUAGGUGGCUUGAUAAGCCGGUUGUGAAAGCCCCGGGCUCAACCUGGGAACGGCAUCCGGAACUGUCAAGCUAGAGUGCAGGAGAGGAAGGUAGAAUUCCCGGUGUAGCGGUGAAAUGCGUAGAGAUCGGGAGGAAUACCAGUGGCGAAGGCGGCCUUCUGGACUGACACUGACACUGAGGUGCGAAAGCGUGGGUAGCAAACAGGAUUAGAUACCCCUGUAGUC